This 403-nucleotide ribosomal RNA is filed under the name uncultured bacterium. RNAcentral describes it as "partial 16S ribosomal RNA". It matches the Rfam family "Bacterial small subunit ribosomal RNA", at positions 28 to 526 of the family's 1533-position model. The record is from RNAcentral.
GACGAACGCUGGCGGCGUGCCUAAUACAUGCAAGUCGAACGCAGUGGGGACGGGUGAGUAACACGUGGGUAACCUACCAUCAGAGGGGAUAACACUUGGAAACAGGUGCUAAACCGAUACUGAUGGAUGGACCCGCGGUGCAUUGGCUAGUUGGUGAGGUAACGGAUCACCAAGGCCACGAUGCAUAGAUGACCUGCGGGGGUCAUCAGACACACUGGGACUGAGAAACGGCCCAGAGUCCUACGUGAGGCAGCAGUAGGGAAUAUUCGGCAAGGGACGAAAGUCUGACGGAGCAACGCAGCGUGAGUGAAGAAGGUUUUCGGAUCGUAAAACUCUGUUGUUAGAGAAGCGGUAUCUAACCAGAAAGCCACGGCUAACUACGUGCCAGAAGCCGCGGUAAUAC